CGGGUGAGUAAUGUCUGGGAAACUGCCCGAUGGAGGGGGAUAACUACUGGAAACGGUAGCUAAUACCGCAUAAUGUCUACGGACCAAAGCGGGGGACCUCCGGGCCUCGCGCCAUCAGAUGAGCCCAUAUGGGAUUAGCUUGUAGGUAAGGUAACGGCUUACCUAGGCGACGAUCCCUAGCUGGUCUGAGAGGAUGAUCAGCCACACUGGGACUGAGACACAGCCCAG
Molecule: ribosomal RNA, 228 nt
Filed under: uncultured bacterium
Lineage: Bacteria
Description: partial 16S ribosomal RNA
Rfam family: Bacterial small subunit ribosomal RNA
Source: RNAcentral